GACCGAGGGUGCAAGCGUUGUUCGGAAUUACUGGGCGUAAAGCGCGUGUAGGCGGCUAAGUAAGUCGGGCGUGAAAUCCCACGGCUCAACCGUGGAAGUGCACUCGAAACUGCAUAGCUAGAGUCCUGGAGAGGAAGGUGGAAUGCUUGGUGUAGAGGUGAAAUUCGUAGAUAUCAAGCGGAACACCGGUGGCGAAGGCGGCCUUCUGGACAGUGACUGACGCUGAGACGCGAAAGCGUGGGUAGCAAACAGG
Molecule: ribosomal RNA, 253 nt
Filed under: uncultured bacterium
Lineage: Bacteria
Description: partial 16S ribosomal RNA
Rfam family: Bacterial small subunit ribosomal RNA
Source: RNAcentral